Cyanistes caeruleus (blue tit) is the source of this 8788-nucleotide non-coding RNA. The record is from RefSeq and is a predicted model, not a curated record. Lineage: Eukaryota; Metazoa; Chordata; Aves; Passeriformes; Paridae.
ACUCGGGGGUCUUUCCUUAGUGAGCUAAAGGGAUUUGAGUGAAGGGGUUCGUGGGGCUCCCCUCACUGAGGUGGAGGGACUCAGCGGUGCUGGCCCAGGAGGGGAGUAGGUUCGUGGAAUUGGCCCGUGAGGGGAUGGAGUUUGGGGAAACCGAUUCGCGUCGCUGGUCCGUGAGGGGAAGGGGUUCGAGCACCAUCCCGUUCGUGCUGAGGCGCUGUUUCUGAGGGCGUGCAGCGACGAGAUGGGGGCACCCUCUGUGUGGGGACUGUGGCAAUGGCGGGCGCUGCCCCACAGGUCUCUCUGUCUCUGGGAGAAGUGGAGUAGAAUAUCUCCGGUGUAGAGUGGGCCCUGUGAGCAGCAGGAGCACCAGCCCCCGGUGGGUGCUUGCCGCCCCUUACCCCAGCAGUCCCGUGCUCUCCACCGGAGCCUGUGCAGAUGGCGAGUGAGGUGUGUGUCCCCUCCUGUGGGAUGCCUCUAUCCAUGUGGUGUCCAGCUUCCUGCAGCCGCCCUCCAAAGUGUGCUUCAGGCAAGGCUGGCUUUAGAUUUAUCCAAAUGUCGAGCUGCGUGAGGUGUGUUAGGUAACGGGAUGGGAAGAGGGAUGAUGCUUGGGGUUUUUCUGUGGCGGCACAAACUCAGCAGGUUAUGGUUGUUCAUCUCAUUGCUGCCUGGAGGGGCAGAGAACAUGCUUGCCAACUUUCACGUGGAAAAGCUCCUACCAGUGAAUGUUCUCUCUACCUACAUAUGCAUAUUUUUCAGUCUUACCUCCUUACUUGGAAAAGCCCUGGCUAUAGAAACUCGGGACUCGCUUGUACCAGGAGGCUACUAUUAGGAAGUAUUUAAGUACCUUCUAGGAACAAACUUUCAUUUUCAUUCAACUUUCAGUUGAAGCAGUUACUUUGUUUUUGGGAGGGCAUUGCAAUGGUCAAUGAAACUUGUUAUAGAAGUGAUACUUUUGAUUUGUGGAAUGCCCUCUGGGUGGCUUCCAAGGAAACUAUAGCUUUACUGGGGUGGUGUUCUCCUGUGCUGCGGCUGGGGGUAUGGGGGGGAUGCUUAAGCACUUUUGUAGAGUUUUAAAAGGAAAAAAAGUAGUGUUUUGUGGUGUGUAGACUGCUGGGGAGUAGUGGCUAAAUUACCAUUGGUGCGAAGUUUUUAUCUAGCAGGCAGGUGCUGUGCUGUUACUAUAGUAAGUCAUAAGAAGGACACUUAACUAGCUUUUUGAAGCCUUUGUUGGCUUUCUAACUUCACAGAUAGUGUGUGUUCAGCCAUGUAGCUGCUGGAUGGGGCUCAAAACCUGUAUUUCUUCCACGGGUUUUUUUAAAUCCAUACCUUCUGUAGGGCACAACAGUUUAAAGUUGGGCAUCUGUAGUCAUCUCCAAAAAAUUGCCAGUGCAAUGAAAACCACAACAUGCUUGAAUAAAUAAAUACAAUUACACAUACUUACACUGUUCUAAUUGUCUGACCAAUUCUAGGAGUGCAGUGGGGAUUGCAGUCCCUCAAUCUUCAUUUUGUGGGUGUGUGUUAUGUGGUUUCUUUAUUUUUUUUCUGGGACAACUGGAGAAAUCUUGUAUUCAAAGACACAUUUGUGUUUUGGGCAGAAUCUCAGAGGAUGCAGGCAGGUGUGGUGCCAGAUCAGAUCCUGUGUGAUGUAAUACUGGCUUAAUGUGAUGUAUUACUGCGCUUAAUUCCUCAGUCAAGUUUCUUGGAAAAAUUUCUGCAGCAUUUAAGGCUUGAAGAGCUGGAAUGUGAAUGGUCUCUUUUAUAUUUUAUCACGCCUAAAAGGAACUGCAUCCUGUUAACAUCUGUGUCAGGGUGGUAACAGUGCUUUGUUUAAUUCAGCUUGUUUGUCUUGCUCUGGUGGGUUGGCCUUUGCAGAGUGACUGUAAUUGAAGAUAGCACUGGAGCUGCUGGGAUUCAAUUUGAAAGUGAUUCCAGUAGAAUGCACGGGCAUAGCAAGCUGUUGGUGAGUUAAAAGCAGGGCUGUAACUCUAGCACUUAGAAUAAACAGUUCCUAUGUGUGUCUUGAUGUUCUAGCUAGCUCUGGUGUUCAAAACAAACUGAUGUAAGAGACCAAAAAGUCAGAUUCUUUUAACUCCUGCUUGUGCAGAGGGUUCACUUCUAUUUUCUUUGUGUAUGUACGUAAGAGACAAAUGUUUAAACCUUUAAAUUAUUUUGCUAAAUUAAUGUUAAUUAUUCUGGGAGUCGAUGCAGCUUCACAAUUUCAUCGGGUGUUGGUAAUGCCCCAGAUUGCAACGUGGUUUUAAUAAAUUGCAGGAGUAACAAACACAGCAGGGGUUGGCUCUGCCAGUUUGUUUGCUAAAUCCUGUGCUUGGGUAGGGGAGAGUUCCUGCCUCAUCACUGUUAUCUCAAACAACACAUUAAUUUUUUCUAGAAAUAGCCUUCCUAUCUUUCUGCAAGUUGGGAAAACCAAACUCUUCCCAUCUCCUUUCUGUUAGGAGCCAGGUGAAGGCUGGUUCAGAAAUUGAGAAACUGGCAACUCAGUGAAAUGCAGCUGUUUUAGCAGGGUGGGUGUAUCUGAUUACAGCUUUUCUCCCACACAUGCUGUCAGGAGUUGUAGUAAGCUUGUGCUUGCUGUUUUGUUGCCACUGUUCCCUGUCUGAUGGCUCCUUUAUUAGAUGUUCAGUCUGGUAUUUCGGCCUUGCUGGAAUCAAUAGAAAAAUUUGCUUGGGUUUCAGGUCAGCAGUGUGGCCUGGUAGUGAUAAAAGCUAACUGCACACUAGGCUGGAUCAAAAGGAGCAUAACCAGGACAUCAAGUGAAGUGAUUCUUUUUCUCUGCUGGUCACUCAGCAGCUGCAUCUGGCACACCGUGCCUGGCUUUUGGUCCACCACCACAAGAAAGAUGUGGAGAACCCUGUGCAAGUCCAACAGAGCCUGUCUUUAAGGUGAAGGGACUGAGGGAGCUGGGCUUCUUCAGCCUGGCAAAAAAUAAUGGGUGAGGGUAGACCCAGCAGCACCAACCAAAGCAGGGAGUGGGUAUGGGCAGAAUUAAGUAACUUAAGUUUUUGUGGUCUAUUUGCUCUUCACAAGGGCCCCACAAUUUGUGGGAGUUAACGUAUUUUGAAUGCUUUUUUAAUCCCUGCACACACUGUUUGGGGGUGAUGGGCUGUGCCCCCAAGGUCUGAGAGUGUCACAAAAUAAAAGCUAUGUGGAUAGGUAAGCAGUACUUAUUAACUUUCACCCCAAAAUUAGAGAGAUCUUCCUUUUACCUUUUAUGCAGUUUUUUUUACUCUUUAAAGCUUUUUUGUUUGCUUUUGGAUAUUCUUCCUGUAAAAUUUUCCUUAGCAGAUCAUCUCCUAUAGCUCAGUCAAUUUGGUUUUUCAGAACCAGAAUGAUUUUCUUGGGUGGUGUUGCCAGCAUUAGGGGUUGUUCAUCUGGGAAAGCUGAGGUUCUGAUAGAGGGACGAGGCAUACAAAUAAGAGAAAAAUAUCAAGUUGGUGUCAUAAUUUCUUGACUGAUGAAGUAGGACUUGUAAAUGGAAAGACCAGGGAAGAGAAUAAAAUAGAGCUGGGAAAAUAAGGCAAAGAGAAGGCAGGUGUUGAGUGAGGCUGAAGUGAAAGGAAUGAGGCAUUCACAGGAAAUUGCCAGCUGUAAAUUUUCAAGGAUGUCUGGGCAACACACAACUGAAACAAUCUGCUAAUGUCGAGUGUCAUUGUAAACAGCUCCAGCCUCCACCUCAUCCUUCAGGAAAGGUCCUUUCCCCAUCCAGGUCUUUAUGGGGGGCGUGUCCUGACUGCAGAGUUCAUUUUACCACACUGUGUCCAGGGCCAGAGCUUUCUUCCCAAAGCAGGGAAUGAUUCCUUGUAGUUUCCACUUUCUCCUGCAGCUGUCCCACUUUGUUCUGGGAUUAUUGAUGUGAUAGGACCAGGAAAUAUAUUUGGCUAAUGAAAAGAAUGCAGAGAAUUUGUUCUGUCCUUCCACUCUUGCUUGGUGUCAUUCUAGAAAUGGCAGAACUAAUCCUGCCUGAGCAUCCCUCUUCUCACUGAGCAUCUGCUGCCAUUCUUAAUUGUUUUAUUUUUUCUUUGGAAGAGCUUCUAAUGUACUUUUUUUAUUCUUUAAUUACUUUUGUUUGACUCCACCUUUACCAUGUCUUUGGCCAAACAAGUUUUGCAUUUAAUUUCAUUUAUUCUUAUGUGGAAGAAAGCAACUGUCUGUUUUGAUGAAUGUCCCAGAUCAAUGAUUUCUGAGAGGCUGGAUGUAAGAAGAAUAUUAACAGCAUUUGCAGAUGAUCAUAAGCCAGGUGUUACAAACACAAGAAGGAAGAAAUAAUGCAACAUAAUCUAAAAAUCUUGGAAACGGGAAAUUGAAUGUAACUGAGUGGAGAGAAAUAAAACCUGAUGUGUCCUUGUGGGGGUUGGGGGGUGGUGUGGAAAGUUCAGUCCAAGGGACAACUUGGAAAAUAGAGCUGAGGGAGAAAGUGGAGAGCUAAUUAAAUAUUCCUUUGCUUGGUGACAGGGCAAAGGAAAGGACAACAUAAUUAGGGAGUAGCUGUGGGCAUUGCUUACAACAGCAGCAGGGUAGUGGCCUAAAGUAAUUUCAAGAGCACUCAGAAUAUUUUAACUGAACCUGGGUAUCUCAUUAUCAAUGUGUUUUAAACAGAUGGGCACAAUUUCAGAGGCAACUGGUGAUUAUCAUUUGAGAGAGUAAAGGUAUGAAAUGUGUAAAACAUGACUGAGGAAAAGCCAGGUAGGGAUAUAUUCAUCAAUAAACUUCCUGAAGUGAUGAUCUGUUAAUCAAUUGAUGAAUGUUUUGAGAUAAUUAAAAUAGCCCUCAGAAAGGUUUAGGCAUUGAGCUUCAAACUGUAAAAUAACUUUUCAUUGUAUGUACAAAUCAAUUAAAAACAGAUUCUAAGAAGGAACUGGAAAAAAAACACUGGGAAAAACCACUCUGUAUUACAGGGAGCAAAUUCUCCAUCUGCAGUCUUUUAAAGAUCCCAUCUUUUUGGUGUCUUACUGAUAACUGGAUUCUUCUGUUAGCCAAAGCUUUCUUGCCAUAUUCAUGUGAAUUGUGUUGAUGCUGAAAUGAGGUCAGAAGGCAAAGGUAAGAAAUUUCCCCCUCCCUCUAGUAAAGUUCAAAUAAGUGAGUUUACAAAAUCCUUACUGAAAAAAGUCUUUAAUGUGGGGCUCUAUGUAAACAAGUGAGCACAGUGAGAUAUGAAUAUUCCUUUUGCACUGUGUAGCUAAAGUAAUACUCAUAACUUAAGAGAAAUCAGGUGUUCUUCAAGAAAUGUUUAACUGUAAUAAACUUGGCACAAAUUCUGUUAGGCUCAGCUCUAGGAACAAUUCUAGAAUCUGCAGCUGUGAACCAUUUUCUGUGAUGCUGUGACUCAGUCAGGAAGAUGGUGUGAAGUCUGCUGUGUGUCCCAGCAGAGCUGUUCUGCUGACACAGGGACUGCCAUAAAGCUAUGUUAAUAAAAUCUUGCAAGGAGGCAAACCCCAAGCUGUCACCCUUUUGUUAAACCAGAUCUGGUCAUCUCUGAAACAUUCAUUAGUUCUGGAAGUGUUGGGGUUUUUUUUUUGCUUUUUUGUGUUGUUUUGGGUUUUUUUAAUACCUGCUUUUGGUACAAUUUCUUAGCUUUAUUUUUUUGGUCUAACCCAUUGUAACUUUUAAAGGACCUUAAACUUUUGGCUUUUUUAAGGAAAGCUAGUAGGAUUUGUGUUCCAAAAUAUCAAUCAAACUGUAAAAUUCAGGAAUCUGAGCUAAAAUAUUCCAUAGUGUCAGUGCUCCAAAUGCCAUUGGCAGAGACUAUUGAUUCUCCCCAAUAAACUACACAGUGUUAAAUCUAACAAUUGUCUCUGGUCAAUUGUCUGGUACUUUGGUCCACUUUGUAUUUAAAAUGGAACUGCUAACUUCAUUGUGAUAAUGACUUGAUUUGGGGCACUACUUGAUCUUUAAGCUUUUGAGGCAAUAAUCUUCUCUCUCUAACAAGUAAAAUAGCUCCAGAUGGCAAUUGAGGAAUAGCUCGGCUAAAGAUGAUUGUUUUGUCUUUAGUAAAUUCUUGAUAUUUACAAGAUUGGUGAAGCCCUGUCCUCUUUACAUUUCAGUUAGGCAUGUGAUAACUUUCAGCCAUGGAUCUAAACUGGAAAAAACCCACUUUGUAUCCACAGGUAACAGUAAUGCCCUUUCUGGAAUAACAGUCAGCCUCUUGCACCCUUCUGUAGCUGGGACUGUGGAUCAGAGGAGAUGAAUGCCAGGAGGAAGGAAUGGUGAGAGCAAGGAAAAAGAGCCUAAUUGCUACACUGCUGCUGAAGGAACUGGGGGUUUUCAACAUGUUUGUAACAGCAAAGCAACUGCUCCAGGAGUGUGCACAGGAUUACUUUAUCAACUGCUGUAGUUAAUUGAUGCCUGGUGUUUCCCCUCAUCUAUUUUCACUUUUACCUGUGAAGAACAAACUAUUGAUUAAAAGCUCAUAACUCUUACACUGGAGGGAUGUAUCACAGCACUGUUUUGAAGCUGACGGGUGAUUCUGUCCCUCUGAGGCAUGACAAGGACUCCGCUGAUGGAUGCAGUGAAAUAAAUGCUUUGUGCCAUCUACUGGUGCCGCUGGGAGCUGCGGGUCAGCCCGCAGCCGGAGUUGUGACGGACUCAAGCGUGCAGUGUGGGAAAAGGAAACUCGCUGUAAAUGCUCCAAACAAUCAUCUUUGCUUUUUUUGUCACUAAUUGCUAUGCCUGGGAAAACAAACUGCAGUUCUGCUGUUCCUGGUUGAAGUCAAUGGGUGCUCUUAGUGCACACAAAAAAUGCAGCGCAGGGAAGCUUCCACCUGCCCAGUCCUCAAGGAAAUGUCAGAUGGGAAGAGGCCUCCUAAAUUCGGAGUGCCUGUUCCAGUGGGGGAUGUGUAUUUUUAAUUAUCUGCUGUCCUUAGUUGAAGAGAUUUGUCCCUGCACUGUAUAAGUGUACUUCUGCUUGCUUUCUUUUUUCAGCCAGGAGCCUCGUGCAGCUCGUUGCUGUCUGUGAACCUUUCGGAACCAAUUCUGAAAUUCUUCAAAGCACACUCAAAACUUGUCAGCCCCAGAGCUCUUUGGCAGGACAAAAGAUGCAAAUACAGAAGUGCAUAAGGGGACAAACCUGUUCCCCACUGCUCCUGCCAUUGAACAGAACAAUCCAAGGGAUGUGUGCAAGCACCUGCAAAACAGGCAAGUCUUUAGGUUGACUUGGGUUGGGUUUGAAAUAGGUUCAACAGAAUCUGCCACCUUAAUAUGUUGAAUACAAUAACACAGGAAAAUUGCAGAGCCUGGAAAAUUAAAAGCUUGAUGUCCAAUUAACUCCUAUGUGUUCAGCAUCAGGCAAGAAAAAAAAAAAAAAAAAUCUAAAUUAAACAGCAGCACGUUUCUCAUCCAGAAAAUUUCUGACUAGAAAUGCCACGAGCUGAUUUUUUUGAAUCAUCACACCAAGUACAGGUCUGCAUGUAAGGCUCUGGCUGGGCCAAACUCCAAAUUUCAGUAAACUGCAUGUUAAAUGGAGGGGUGUUUGUUCUGAAUUUUCCACAUAUUGAAGCUGUGCUGCCUUUAAAUUCUGUAUCUUUAACAGGGAAUUCUGUGUCAGUAAUGAAUGGAUGAAAGUGGGAAGUUUGAGGACAGCAUACAACUAGAGAGGCACAGACACCUUCUGGCCCUCUUCAGGAAAUCUCAGUCUUGUCUGGUGUUAGACCCAUUCCUGAGAAGGAAACAGCAAAAGAAAGGAAUAUUUUAAAUCCUAAAACACUCUGGAUGCCUGAUUCCAGAGUUUUGAAGAUGCUUGUAAAUCAUCCCAGCAGGAAUAUUAAGCAUCAUAGUCUUAAGAGCAUUCUCUUGGCCAGAAUAUUCCCCUACAGCUCUGGGGAAGAGGAAAGCUGGGAAGGAAUGCUAAUGGAGAGACAAGAAGUGAAGAGCUGCAGUCUCUCUCCAGCGGCCUCAGCUGAGAGGCACAGAGAGCUCUGAGUGUGAAACUUUGCCACAGAUCUGGAGAAAGAUGGAUCUGCUCUGUAUCCCUCACAGCUGGGGGAGGCACUCAGCCUUUGGACAUGGAGAGUGCUGUGGCUGCCAGCAGCUCGCUGCUUCAGGAUGGAAUCAGCUCUGCACUUGGGCAGAGCCAGGGCUGGGGAAACACAGAUGGGAUGUCAUUAACAUUAAUGGACUGGCUAAGGAAGAGUUCUGCAUGCUGACAAGAUAAUGUACAGCUUUAAUAUAGCAAAUUUCUACAGCUGGUGGGGCUCUGGUGCCUUCCUUGUGGAAUGUGCCCAGCUAUAACAUUUAUUUUCACUGUUUAAAAUGAGUCCUGAGGAAGAUGUGGGUGAGAUCCUGUUCCCUGUUUCCAUCAAAGCACCCACUUCUCUGACAGGACCUCCUGACCUCCCACCUCACUUUUUCAAAUGAUUGCUCAGACUCCUUUUGCUGAGCAGAAAACAUUUAAACUGUUGUUCAAAGUGAGCACUUAUCAGGUGGUGUCUUUCCCCCUUCCCAGAGCAGAGCAUUAAUUAAAUUGGAGGACUCAAGGGCCUGUCUGGAAGGGAUUCUAGAUGGAGAGGAAGUGCAAACCCAAAGGACCAACAUGAAAUGCAGACAGAUGUUCUUCUGAAAUGGAAGAGUUAAAAAUCCAAGCUCAAAAGGACAAAGAAAGGAAAAAAAGGAGAAAUCUUGACUCUGGAAAACAAGAAGCUGCUUAUCAGAGGAGAUGUGGAUGUGUGAUGCCAGGGUGGGGCAGUUUUCUCUCCAAUUCCUGUGCUUCCUCUGAGGCAGUUUGACUUUUGAAAUAUAAGGAAGAAAAGUGACUUGUUUGUUUGUUUCCUGCACUGGG